UACGAAGGGUGCAAGCGUUACUCGGAAUUACUGGGCGUAAAGAGUACGUAGGCGGUCUGGCAAGUCUGAUAUUAAAGACUGGAGCUCAACUCCAGGACUGUAUCGGAAACUGCCAAACUAGAGGACAAUAGAGGAAGUCGGAAUUCUCAGUGUAGCGGUGAAAUGCGUAGAUAUUGGGAAGAACACCAGUGGCGAAAGCGGACUUCUGGGUUGUUACUGACGCUGAGGUACGAAAGCGUGGGGAGCAAACGGG
RNAcentral lists this ribosomal RNA (253 nucleotides) under uncultured prokaryote. Its description in RNAcentral is "partial 16S ribosomal RNA". It matches the Rfam family "Bacterial small subunit ribosomal RNA", at positions 524 to 776 of the family's 1533-position model. The record is from RNAcentral.